AAUGAACGCUGGCGGCAGGCCUAACACAUGCAAGUCGAACGGGUCCUUCGGGACUAGUGGCGGACGGGUGAGUAACGCGUGGGAACAUACCCUUUGGUACGGAAUAGCCUCGGGAAACUGGGUGUAAUACCGUAUGAGCUCGCAAGAGGAAAGAUUUAUCGCCAAAGGGAUUGGGCCCGCGUUGGAUUAGGUAGUUGGUGGGGUAAUGGCCUACCAAGCCGACGAUCCAUAGCUGGUUUGAGAGGAUGAUCAGCCACACUGGGACUGAGACACGGCCCAGACUCCUACGGGAGGCAG
Molecule: ribosomal RNA, 297 nt
Filed under: uncultured Pseudomonadota bacterium
Lineage: Bacteria; Pseudomonadati; Pseudomonadota
Description: uncultured proteobacterium partial 16S ribosomal RNA
Rfam family: Bacterial small subunit ribosomal RNA
Source: RNAcentral